RNAcentral lists this ribosomal RNA (418 nucleotides) under Arenicellales bacterium. Its description in RNAcentral is "bacterial SSU rRNA". It matches the Rfam family "Bacterial small subunit ribosomal RNA", at positions 1 to 402 of the family's 1533-position model. The record is from RNAcentral. Lineage: Bacteria; Pseudomonadati; Pseudomonadota; Gammaproteobacteria; Arenicellales.
GAACUGGAGAGUUUGAUCCUGGCUCAGAUUGAACGCUGGCGGUAGGCCUAACACAUGCAAGUCGAACGGUAACGGACCGCUGGGAUUCCUUCGGGAUGACCUUGGUGCCGACGAGUGGCGGACGGGUGAGUAACACGUAGGAAUCUGCCAAACAGUGGGGGACAACCCGGAGAAAUCCGGGCUAAUACCGCAUACGCCCUACGGGGGAAAGCGGGGGACCUUCGGGCCUCGCGCUGUUUGAGGAGCCUGCGUCGGAUUAGCUUGUUGGUGAGGUAAAGGCUCACCAAGGCGACGAUCCGUAGCUGGUCUGAGAGGAUGAUCAGCCACACUGGGACUGAGACACGGCCCAGACUCCUACGGGAGGCAGCAGUGGGGAAUAUUGCACAAUGGGCGAAAGCCUGAUGCAGCCAUACCGCGU